GAGGCUUUAUCUUAAUAAAAGUAUUUGGAUUGCAUUCAGAUGAUGGGGAUUAAUAUUCUCCAGGUCUUA
This 69-nucleotide transfer RNA is filed under the name Allobates aff. trilineatus 2 AR-2020. RNAcentral describes it as "tRNA-Ala". It matches the Rfam family "tRNA". Rfam says of the family: Transfer RNA (tRNA) molecules are approximately 80 nucleotides in length. The record is from RNAcentral. Lineage: Eukaryota; Metazoa; Chordata; Amphibia; Anura; Aromobatidae.